Molecule: ribosomal RNA, 433 nt
Filed under: uncultured bacterium
Lineage: Bacteria
Description: partial 16S ribosomal RNA
Rfam family: Bacterial small subunit ribosomal RNA
Source: RNAcentral
AACGAACGCUGGCGGCAUGCCUAACACAUGCAAGUCGAACGAGACCUUCGGGUCUAGUGGCGCACGGGUGCGUAACGCGUGGGAACCUGCCCUUAGGUUCGGAAUAACUCCCCGAAAGGGGUGCUAAUACCGGAUAAUGUCUUCGGACCAAAGAUUUAUCGCCUUUGGAUGGGCCCGCGUUGGAUUAGCUAGUUGGUAGGGUAAAAGCCUACCAAGGCGACGAUCCAUAGCUGGUCUGAGAGGAUGAUCAGCCACACUGGGACUGAGACACGGCCCAGACUCCAACGGGAGGCAGCAGUGGGGAAUAUUGGACAAUGGGCGAAAGCCUGAUCCAGCAAUGCCGCGUGAGUGAUGAAGGCCUUAGGGUUGUAAAGCUCUUUUACCCGGGAUGAUAAUGACAGUACCGGGAGAAUAAGCUCCGGCUAACUCCGUG